AUUUGAUGAUGUAGGCAUUUGGCAGGGAGGCCUAUGAAUCUUACCCAAUAUUCAUACAAGCUCUCUCCAACCCCUUAUUGAACACCGUAGAUCUCUUUCCUCAUUCU
Small nucleolar RNA from Neltuma alba, 107 nucleotides. The record is from RefSeq and is a predicted model, not a curated record. Lineage: Eukaryota; Viridiplantae; Streptophyta; Magnoliopsida; Fabales; Fabaceae.